Long non-coding RNA from Daphnia magna, 694 nucleotides. RefSeq lists it as uncharacterized. The transcript has 2 exons. NCBI's taxonomy places the organism in Eukaryota, Metazoa, Arthropoda, Branchiopoda, Diplostraca, Daphniidae. The record is from RefSeq and is a predicted model, not a curated record.
CCUUCCAAAUAAAAACAAAAAAAUAAAAAGGUUUUUCUGGGUUCCACGAUUCCAUGAAGGUGAAUUUAGUUCAUUUCCUAUGUUAGUUGUUCCUAUACGGGUUUACAUCGCCUACACCAUCCACUGUGAAUAUGUGCCUCCUUGUGCAUUAUCUCCAAGUAAAAACUAACGUGCAACUAGGGCUAACAAGAACAUUUGUUAAGCAGACCAAACAUUAUUGUGCUUUUAUUACCACCGAACCCGCGAGUGUUUGUGCAAAACUAUCGUCGAAAGAAAGUUGCUUUGAUCUUUGUAGCCAACGAAAAAAAGACGGAGAUUCUGAGGUGAACAGGUGAUCACAUAUUUCUUUGGGAAUCAGUCCUAUCGUGCUUCCUAGACUAGGACAGUAACCCUAACAGCACGCCGUUGUAGAAAUUUAUGGCUGAUUUGUUCAACCUGGAACAUUGCGGUCUGGCGUCCAAAUAUGAGGAAAUCUAUCGUCCCCGCUGAGGAUUUAUUCAAGACCGUGAGAAAAAAUUUUGAUCUGUCUUCGACGUUCGACUCCAAGCUAAAAAAAAGGGGAGAGGGUAUUAAAAAAGGAAAACAUUGAAUUAAAAAACAACAUCAGUCAACAGUCAUUCUGGGCAUUUAGUCGGUGAUGCAUGUACAGCUGCUGUAGUGCGUUUGUUCUUUCGAAUAAAUUUUGUAAAAUGUG